Molecule: non-coding RNA, 100 nt
Filed under: Sutterella wadsworthensis
Lineage: Bacteria; Pseudomonadati; Pseudomonadota; Betaproteobacteria; Burkholderiales; Sutterellaceae
Also listed under: 1 other name
Description: TPP sequence
Rfam family: TPP riboswitch aptamer (THI element)
About the family: Vitamin B(1) in its active form thiamin pyrophosphate (TPP) is an essential coenzyme that is synthesised by coupling of pyrimidine and thiazole moieties in bacteria. The previously detected thiamin-regulatory element, thi box was extended, resulting in a new, highly conserved RNA secondary structure, the THI element, which is widely distributed in eubacteria and also occurs in some archaea. Analysis of operon structures identified a large number of new candidate thiamin-regulated genes, mostly transporters, in various prokaryotic organisms.
Source: RNAcentral
CUUGCGCGUUCGGGGUAUCGGCCUUUCAGGGGCCGGUUGAGAAACACCCGUCGCACCGGAUCAGGUUCAGACCUGCGUCGGGAAACGCUGCGGACAAAUC